RNAcentral lists this unclassified non-coding RNA (320 nucleotides) under Hevea brasiliensis (rubber tree). The record is from RNAcentral. Lineage: Eukaryota; Viridiplantae; Streptophyta; Magnoliopsida; Malpighiales; Euphorbiaceae.
GCUCAUUCAAAUCAGCAGGUAGUCUUUGCUUUCUCAGUUCAUCAAUUAUCUUUCUAGUUCUGGAGCGUACUUGGCUGUAAAAUUGAAGGCUGACACUUGCUUCCAUGUUCCAAGAUGAAGUUUCUUUACCAUUGUUUUUAGGAUUUUAAAUGUACAUGUUGACUGUUAGUUUCUUAUCCUAUGGAGAAGUUAACAUUUUCGUUGGGAUCUGGAUGCCAAUUGGUGAAAAUAUUUAAUUGUAUGGGAAAUGGUGCAAUUGAACUAAAAUUAACUUCAUAAUCAAUAGCUACUACCAUUAUCCAAUAUCCUGCAAAAGAAAU